AUACGGAGGGUGCGAGCGUUAAUCGGAAUUACUGGGCGUAAAGGGCACGUAGGCGGCUUAAUAAGUCAGAUGUGAAAGCCCCGGGCUUAACCUGGGAACUGCGUUUGAAACGGUUAGGCUAGAGUUUGAUAGAGGGGAGUGGAAUUUCCGGUGUAGCGGUGAAAUGCGUAGAGAUCGGAAGGAACACCAGUGGCGAAGGCGACUCCCUGGAUUAAAACUGACGCUGAGGUGCGAAAGCGUGGGUAGCAAACAGGAUUAGAAACCCCAGUAGUCC
Molecule: ribosomal RNA, 274 nt
Filed under: uncultured bacterium
Lineage: Bacteria
Description: partial 16S ribosomal RNA
Rfam family: Bacterial small subunit ribosomal RNA
Source: RNAcentral